GACACCACGGCCCAAACUCCUACGGGAGGCAGCAAUACGCAAUCUUCGGCAAUGGACUAAAGUCUGACCGACCAACGCCGCGUGAGUGAAGAAGGUUUUCGGAUCUUAGAACUCUGUUGAUAGAGAAGAACAAGGAUGAUAGUAAAAUGUUCGUCCCUUGACGGUAUCUAAACCACAAAGUACACUGCUAACUACCUGCCCGCAGCCGCGGUAAUACGUAGGUGGCGACCGUUGUCCGGAUUUAUUGGGCGAAAAGCGAGCGCACCGCUGUUUCUUAAGUCUGAUGUCAAAGCCCCCGGCUCAACCGGAGAGGGUCAUUGGAAACUGUGAGACUUGAGUAGCGAAGAGGAUAGCGGAGUUCCAUGUGUAACCGUGUAAAUGCGUAGAUAUAUGGAGGAACACCAGUGGCGAAGGCGGCUCUCUGGUCUGUAACUGACGCUGAGGCUUGAAAGCGUGGGGAGCGAACAGGAUUAGAUACCCUGGUAGUCCACGCCGUAAACGAUGAGUGCUAAGUGUUGGAGGGUUUCCGCCCUUCAGUGCUGCAGCAAACGCAUUAAGCACUCCGCCUGGGGAGUACGACCGCAAGGUUGAAACUCAAAGGAAUUGACGGGGGCCCGCACAAGCGGUGGAGCAUGUGGUUUAAUUCGAAGCAACGCGAAGAACCUUACCAGGUCUUGACAUCCUUUGACCACUCUAGAGAUAGAGCUUCCCCUUCGGGGGCAAAGUGACAGGUGGUGCAUGGUUGUCGUCAGCUCGUGUCGUGAGAUGUUGGGUUAAGUCCCGCAACGAGCGCAACCCUUAUUGUUAGUUGCCAUCAUUUAGUUGGGCACUCUAGCGAGACUGCCGGUGACAAACCGGAGGAAGGUGGGGAUGACGUCAAAUCAUCAUGCCCCUUAUGACUUGGGCUACACACGUGCUACAAUGGGAAGUACAACGAGUUGCGAAGUCGCGAGGGUAAGCUAAUCUCUUAAAGCUUCUCUCAGUUCGGAUUGUAGGCUGCAACUCGCCUACAUGAAGCCGGAAUCGCUAGUAAUCGCGGAUCAGCACGCCGCGGUGAAUACGUUCCCGGGCCUUGUACACACCGCCCGUCACACCACGAGAGUUUGUAACACCCGAAGUCGGUGAGGUAACCUUUUGGAGCCAGCCGCCUAAGGUGGGAUAGAUGAUUGGGGUGAAGU
Molecule: ribosomal RNA, 1178 nt
Filed under: uncultured organism
Description: SSU rRNA
Rfam family: Bacterial small subunit ribosomal RNA
Source: RNAcentral